RNAcentral lists this ribosomal RNA (428 nucleotides) under uncultured bacterium. RNAcentral describes it as "bacterial SSU rRNA". It matches the Rfam family "Bacterial small subunit ribosomal RNA", at positions 356 to 776 of the family's 1533-position model. The record is from RNAcentral.
AGGGAAUCUUCGGCAAUGGACGAAAGUCUGCCCGAGCAACGCAGCGUGAGUGAAGCACGUUUUCGAAUCGUAAAACUCUGUUGUUAGAGUAGAACAAGUGGUAAAGUAUCUGUUCCCACCUUGACGGUAUCUAACGAGAAAGCCACUGCUAACCCCGUGCCAGCCGCGGCGGUAAUACGUAGGUGGCAAGCGUUGUCCGGAUUUAUUGGGCGUAAAGCGAGCGCAGGCGGUUUCUUAAGUCUGAUGUGAAAGCCCUCGGCUCAACCGAGGAAGGUCAUUGGAAACUGGGGAACUUGAAUGCAGAAGAGGAGAGUGGAAUUCCAUGUGUAGCGGUGAAAUGCGUAGAUAUAUGGAGGAACACCAGUGGCGAAGGCGACUCUCUGGUCUGUAAUUGACGCUGAGGCUCGAAAGCGUGGGGAGCAAACAGG